Molecule: ribosomal RNA, 253 nt
Filed under: uncultured bacterium
Lineage: Bacteria
Description: partial 16S ribosomal RNA
Rfam family: Bacterial small subunit ribosomal RNA
Source: RNAcentral
UACGUAGGUGACAAGCGUUGUCCGGAUUUAUUGGGCGUAAAGCGCUCGCAGGUGGUUCGAUGCGUCGUGCGUGAAAGACCCCGGCUCAACUGGGGGGUGUCGUGCGAUACGGUCGGACUGGAGGCCAGUAGGGGGAUGCGGAAUUCCGGGUGUAGUGGUGGAAUGCGUAGAGAUCCGGAGGAACACCAGCGGCGAAGGCGGCAUCCUGGACUGGUCCUGACACUCAUGAGCGAAAGCGUGGGGAGCGAUCCGG